AUGGGCCGGUGGGGGAUGAAGCUCGGCGACAUGGCCGAGUUCCAGUGCUUCGUCUGCAAGGACGCCGGCGACGUCCGCGUCUGCGACUCCAGGAACUGCCUCAAGAGCUACCACCCGUGCUGCGUGGGGAAGGAGGACGACUUCAUUGAUUCCAGUGAGCAAUACGUUUGUGAUUGGCACAAAUGUGCUAAAUGCGGAAGUGAUGCACUCUAUUUAUGCUUGUGCUGUCCAAGUUCCUCUACUUGUGGAGACUGCUUUGGAAAAAUUGAUUUCAUCCCAGUGAAGCAGAGCAACGAAUUCAGCAUGGGAUUCUGCCGCAGCUGUUUUAAUAUGGCAGUAGCGACUGAGAAAGAUGACCGUGAAGAGGCAAAGGUUGCUUUCGGAGGUACCCCGGAGAACUAUGAAAUAUUGUUUAAAGAUUACUGGUCAGUACUUAAUGACAAGGAGCGUUUUACAUUGCUCGACUUGCAAAUCGCAAGUAUUCGUCAUAAAAGAAGCCUACAGUGUAAAGAAGGGAAUGAUUCGAAUGAGUAUCACAAGACAGAUGGAAAGCCAUUGGGUGACAAUGAUGGUGCUGGGCCAUCAUCUCUUCUUGACACAAUGGACAAACCAAAUGAAGUGCAAGCUACUCUGAAGAGAAAGAAGCUGGAGAAGAAAACAUAUGUUGGGUGGGCUUCAAAAGAGCUAACAGAAUUCCUAUCAUGUAUUGGUAAGGAUACAAGCACGCCUCUUGACCAUUUCAAAGUUGCUGAAGUUGUUAGGGAGUAUGUUCGACAGAAAAAUCUACAUCUACAUGAUAAGAAGAAGAAAUCUGUCAUGUGUGAUGAGAACCUGCAUUCUUUAUUUAACAAAAAGAAAAUUAAGUACAACAUGAUCCAUAGCCUGGUGGAAACGCAUCUUUCUGCAAAUGCAAUUUCAGAGGAUGAAAGUGAUGGAUCUGUGGAUGAUACUGGUUACACGGUGAAAAAGAAGCCUCGGAAUAGUUUGGAGCCAAAAAUUCCUAAGAGUGUUUCAGGAAUAGACCCAAUAAUUCCUAAGAGUGUUUCAGGAACAAACAAGAAUUGUCUUGCCGCUCUCAAUCCGAAUAACCUGAAUCUGAUUUAUCUGAGAAGAACCUUAGUUGUAAAACUUCUGACUGAGCUAGACACAUUUGAACAGAAGGUUAUUGGUUGUUUGGUCAGAGUGAAGAAUGAUCUCAAGAGUUAUACUUAUAUGAUGACUAAGAAAUAUUACCAGAUUGGACUAGUUACAGGCAUUAAGAAAUCUUCAGAAGAAUACAAGAUUAAGAAUACAUUUACAGAUGUUCUUUUAUGUGUUUCCGGUAUGUGGGAUGAUGUCAAGAUCUCGAUGCUAUCAGAAGAGGACUUUGAGGAGGAUGAGUGCAAUGAUCUUCUGAAGUCGGCCAAGAAAGAGCUCUUCAAAAGGCCUACUGUUGCUGAGUUAGAGGAAAAAGCAGCAAGUGUACAUGCAGACAUAGUAAAUCAUUGGUUUGAUAAGGAGCUUCGAAAAUUGGAAAUGGAGUUGGAACGAGCGCGUGAGAAGGGGUGGCGUCAGGAUAUCCAUGACAUAAGUUGUCAGAAAAUGCUUCUAAGCACACCAGAAGAAAUACAGCGCCGUCUUGAGGCGACCCCGGAAGUUAUUCCAGAUGCUGAAGGGGAGAGUAAAGAAACUGGGAUUGAAUCAGCAGUGAACAUUCCUUUUCAAGGGAAUCGAGGAGAAAGACAGCAACGUCUUGAGGUGAUCCCCGAAGUUAUUCCAGAUGCAGAAGAAGGGAGUAAAGAAACUGAGAUUGAAUCAGCAGCAAGGAGCCCUUUUCAAGGGAGUCGAGGUGUGAUACAGACAGUAGUUGACCCUUUGGAAGUUGGUAUAGAUGAAUCACUAGAAGGUGCAUCUCUGCGACAUGACGCUGCCUGUGAAGUUGUUUUUGAAGCUGCCGGCAAAGCCCUCUGUAAUGGUGGCACUCCUGGUCCUGGAUUGCACACUCAACUGAACAAAGCUGCCGGCAAAGCCCUCUGUAGUGGUGGCACUCCUGGUCCUGGAUUGCACACACCAUUGAACACAGCUGCCGGCAAAGCCCUCUGUAAUGGUGGCACUCCUGGUCCUGGAUUGCACACUCAAUUGAACACAGCUGCCGGCAAAACCCUCUGUAAUGGUGGCACUCCUGUUCCUGGAUUGCACACUCCAUUGAACGCAGUUACUGGAGUCAUUGAUAUCGACAACGAGGAUGAUGGAAAUGGUCCUAGUCAUCACACUGGUGGUGACAAGGAAUAUGUCAUCGAUCUGGUCAGUGAUGACGACGAGGAUGUUCACAUGGAGCAGCGUGAGCGAGAACGGGCAAAAUGUGAUGGACCAGUAGCCGUUAAUGGGAUCGCUGCGCAUGCACAUGACGGACCGGAAGCUGUCAAUGGGGUCACCGUACCUACAGUCCAUGCUUCCAAUGAUCUGGAUGGAAACACGGGGCCUGCAUGCAGUACGUCACAAGCCAUGGUGCGUGAUCCUGUAACUGUGAAUGGGACAGGCAAGUCAGAUCAAGGGUGGAUGUACAUAGAUCCUCAGGGGCGAGAGCAUGGGCCAUACCCAAUGGCUCAAAUGCGGGAGUGGCAGCAAAGUGGGUACUUCCCUGAGGGCUUCCGCGUGUGGAGAGCAGGGAGAUCAAGGCGGGGGAGAGCCUCCAUGUUGCUGAUAGAUGCCAUGCGGCUGCAUUAG
This 2706-nucleotide ribosomal RNA is filed under the name Triticum aestivum (bread wheat). Its description in RNAcentral is "partial small subunit ribosomal RNA". Lineage: Eukaryota; Viridiplantae; Streptophyta; Magnoliopsida; Poales; Poaceae. The record is from RNAcentral.